UUUCUCACGUUCUCUUUCUCUCUCUCUGUCUCUCUCCAGAGAGCACACAAACACUGGCAAAUUAAAAAAGAAAGAAAUAGAAUAAGUGAAAUGAAAUACGAUCACUUAAAUCUUCUUUGUAAUUGGUUUAAAACAGGAAUUGGCAUCUUUUCCUGUGGAGGGCCAGUUAAUAAAUGUUUGGUUCAUGGACAACAUAGUCUCUGUCCCAACUUCUCAACUGGGCAGUUACAGCACAACCAUUAGAUCUGGAGAGCCUUGGGACUGGAGUGACAUCGCGGAGGGCAUCUGUCAUGAGGGACCACCUGACAGAAACUGUGGCUUCUAAUAAAGGGGCACAACCAAACCUAACCUACUUUGAGUGUUCCUCAACAGGAAGCUUCAGGCUUCAAGUACAGGUAGUUCAUCUGGGAGAUCCAGGAGGGCCAGCAGGGGAGUAAGUAUGCAGAGAAAAGUGGAAACUCAGCAAAGGGCGUUUUACUAACCAAAUACUAGAGAGGCAACUGGAGCAUUGCGCAGGUGCAAACACUGAGUGGCAUAUCAGUAUUCAUUUUCUGCUCUUGUAUUUUAUGAGGUUGGCCAUCUAAAAUGAAUACAACCUAUGCAGCCCGAGUUGUCUGAUGGUCGAGGUGGUAGUAACCUUGGGACUGUCGCUGAAGGCAGAACAAUGCAAGGAAGUGACUGAAGGGAGGAGAACAUCUCUGCAGGCAUCCUAAGUGUAAAGAUGGCAUGAAGUCUGCAUGUAAUCUCAUCUACCCAUGUGAAACAACAGAUGGGCAGAAAUUAGUCUACAAGGGACUAUGCCAGCUGUUAAUAGUGGUUGUGUCUGGGCGAUGGGACAAAAAGUGGUUCUCUUCUCCUCUGAGUUCUACAACCUCUAUUGAGUAUGCACUCAUGUUACAAUAGGAAUUAACAGUAGCUUUCGAUUUCAAGGUAUAUUAAGAUGCUCCAAAAACACAGCAUCUCCAAGAUUCUCAUUUAAUAGGAACACCCACUCGGGCUGGGUUAUCUAAGGAAUACAACUCAGCCGCAUGUAAACACAUUUUCUCCGUAGACUACAUCUGCUCUGCCAGGGAGUCAGGUGUUUGGAGGGGCAACGGUGACCAUGAAGUGCCAAAUGUAGACUUUACAUUCCCCUCCUCUCUGCCCAUCUCUGUCUCUGCCUCUCUCUAUUUUAGACCAAUAGGAACUUUAGUAUUUUAACAACAAAAUUAUUUCUCUAAACUAACAUUUUCGGAUAGUGAAAAAGCAUGCAGUAUUGAGAGGAAUCUGCUGAUAAACAGUUAGAACCCCGUGGGUGAAAUGCCACAGGACCCUCUUCCGGCAGUCACAGGUGGGUCUCUGCUGUGUGUUCAGAGCCCGCUUCCUCUCACCACAUCCAACUCAGAUUUGCUCUGCGAUUUCCCCUGGCCUGCACGUCUGCUUGUGCCAGGGCUGGGAGAAUGCUGUUGCUGCUGCAGCUCAUGACUAUUGCUGCCAUCUGGCCUUAUGCAAACGGAGACAUUCUCAUAACACAACUCGUAACGUCGGUCACCAAGAAAAAAGGCAGUACAGCGUUUCUUGGCUGCCAAAUUAAAACAGCUACCUUGCAGAACAAUCUGUAUAUCCACUGGUACCGACAGCAGGCCGGCCAGCCCUUAAAGCGAAUUCUGUGUAUUUCCUCAAAUGAAAAUGUCCUGCAUGAACGAGGUAUUAGCGAGAGGAAAUUUGAAGCAAGGAAACAGCGGGGUCUCUCCUGGAGCCUCAGAAUACACCAGGUGGCCGAGGAGGACGCAGGCAUGUACUACUGUGCCUACUGGGAUACACUGCAGCACGGCGCUCCCCUGUCCCCGAGCGAGAACCUCCCCGUGCCCACUGCACACACCCUGCCCUCAGCCUCCAGAGGACCUGACUGCCGCCCGCAAAGCACUUUGCUCCUCCACAUGUGUCCCGAGCAAGAGCCCAAGGUCCCAAACUGUGACAGUGCUCUUAAUUAGGAACCACUGUGUGCUUACCCUUCUGGGCCCGGAACCGGCAUUUGUAAAUGUCCCAAAUUGUUUCUAUACCUGAGGAGGCGUUUGGGAAGGGAGCCAUAAUCGAAUAUUCAAUAUCGUUGGUUGACUUUAAAUGAAUGAAUGAAUGAAUGAUAGGAAAUACAAGGACAUAGACCUAGGCUU
Molecule: non-coding RNA, 2153 nt
Organism: Tupaia belangeri chinensis (Chinese tree shrew)
Lineage: Eukaryota; Metazoa; Chordata; Mammalia; Scandentia; Tupaiidae
Source: the annotation of a RefSeq genome assembly